GAUGAACGCUGGCGGCGUGCCUAAUACAUGCAAGUCGAGCGAACGGACGAGAAGCUUGCUUUUCUGAUGUUAGCGGCGGACGGGUGAGUAACACGUGGAUAACCUACCUAUAAGACUGGGAUAACUUCGGGAAACCGGAGCUAAUACCGGAUAAUAUUUUGAACCGCAUGGUUCAAAAGUGAAAGACGGUCUUGCUGUCACUUAUAGAUGGAUCCGCGCUGCAUUAGCUAGUUGGUAAGGUAACGGCUUACCAAGGCAACGAUGCAUAGCCGACCUGAGAGGGUGAUCGGCCACACUGGAACUGAGACACGGUCCAGACUCCUACGGGAGGCAGCAGUAGGGAAUCUUCCGCAAUGGGCGAAAGCCUGACGGAGCAACACCGCGUGAGUGAUGAAGGUCUUCGGAUCGUAAAACUCUGUUAUUAGGGAAGAACAUCUGUGUAAGUAACUGUGCACAUCUUGACGGUACCUAAUCAGAAAGCCACGGCUAACUACGUG
This 497-nucleotide ribosomal RNA is filed under the name uncultured bacterium. Its description in RNAcentral is "partial 16S ribosomal RNA". It matches the Rfam family "Bacterial small subunit ribosomal RNA", at positions 28 to 507 of the family's 1533-position model. The record is from RNAcentral.